GGGGAAACUUGUGCUAAUACCGGAUAAGUCCUAACGGAGAAAGAUUUAUCGCCGAAAGAUGAGCCCGCACUAGAUUAGCUUGUUGGUAAGGUAAAAGCUUACCAAGGCUACGAUCUAUAGCUGAUUUGAGAGGAUGAUCAGCCACACUGGGACUGAGACACGGCCCAGACUCCUACGGGAGGCAGCAGUGGGGAAUCUUGCACAAUGGAGGAAACUCUGAUGCAGCGAUGCCGCGUGAGUGAAGAAGGCCCUUGGGUUGUAAAGCUCUUUUGUCGGGAAAGAUAAUGACUGUACCCGAAGAAUAAGGUCCGGCUAACUUCGUGCCAGCAGCCGCGGUAAUACGAAGGGACCUAGCGUAAUUCGGAAUUACUGGGCGUAAAGCGCGCGUAGGCGGUUAAGUAAGUUAAUUGUGAAAGCCCAAAGCUCAACUUUGGAAUUGCAAUUAAAACUACUUAGCUAGAGUUUAUCAGAGGAAAGCGGAAUACAUAGUGUAGAGGUGAAAUUCGUAGAUAUUAUGUAGAACACCAGUUGCGAAGGCGGC
RNAcentral lists this ribosomal RNA (541 nucleotides) under proteobacterium MS-B-80. RNAcentral describes it as "bacterial SSU rRNA". It matches the Rfam family "Bacterial small subunit ribosomal RNA", at positions 150 to 725 of the family's 1533-position model. Lineage: Bacteria; Pseudomonadati; Pseudomonadota. The record is from RNAcentral.